GGCAGGCUAUUUUAUGAGAGCCGGUCCUGUUGCGAUGCAUUUGAUACGCUUUCCUGAAGCAGCGUGCUUCGUUCUUGUAGUGUGGUUUACGCCUUUAUCAAUAGAAAUGAAUAGAAGUGUUUGUUUGUUUGUUUGUUUGUAUGUUUGUUUGUUUGUUUGUUUGUUAGUAUGUGUCUGUCACGUUCGUAGCGCUGUUCAAGCUUUAUUUGCUUUGCAAAAAUUCAGACUUUAUGGUAUUAAGCUGUUCGAGUAGAAGUGACUUUCCCUGCUCGCUUAAGAUAAAUUGUGUAUCCCUGCCCUGUGCUUUCUUCACGCAGGGACAAUGCGAAUGAGUAUUCAGCAUUAUGCAAUAAUUAUCUGAUAGCAGAAAUGGGUGUCUUUGUCACAGUUUAUUAGCGUGUGUGUCGAUAUUUUAUUUUUUUCUCUUAUUGCUAUUCGAGCAAAAGUGCGUGUAAUUUUCGCUGCUCUUGUCUUAUUUUCUCUACUUUUAUGUAGAAGAAAGCCUCCUGCGUAAAAGCUGAAUAGUGUUCUAUCAGUGGAAGUGGGGUUGUUUGUUUGAUUUUGUUGGGUGUUCGAUAUCUUGAUGAUGUAAGCAGUGCUUAAUUUUGCAGGUUUUUGAGCAGAAAUGCUGGUAUCUGAGCACGGAGUAGAAAUUGCUAUAUUUCUCUGCUCCCUAAGAAACUUUGUACGUCGUUUUCCAAGCAGACCGCGUUUAGUUUACGCGAAAUGAACUUAUGUAUGCUCUAUGAUGAUCCGCCGCAGGCUUAGCCCUUUUCCCCGAUCACCAGUGUUUUGGCAUUCGAUGUCGCAUGUCUAGACUUGUUCAGUAGUGUCUUUCUUGCUGCAAUUUUUACCCUUCGCUGAUAUCUUGUUGCUGUCAUGUUGUGCUAGCCGCGUAGCGAUAAGCGGUGAUUCUCCGAUUAUUCCUAGGCGGUACGGCUUAAGCCUUUUCCCUGCUCACUGAAGGAAAUUUGUGUAUCCCUGUCCUGUGCUUUCUUUACGCAAGGGUAAUGCGUCUGUGUAUGUGGCACUAUCAUAUACCAGACAUGAGUGUCUUUUUCUUUGUUUAUUGGCAUAUGCUUCAGGUUUUUUAAGUCAAGCAAAAGUGCGUCUAAUAUUUCGCUGCUCUUUUUCUUAUUUUCUCUACUUUUAUGUUGAAGAAAGCCUCCUGCGUAAAAGCUGAAUAGUGUUCUACCAGUGGAAGUGGGGUUGUUUGUUUGAUUUUGUUGGGUGUUCGAUAUCUUGACGAAGUAAGCAGUGCUUAAUUUUGCAGGUUUUUGAGCAGAAAUGCUGGUAUCUGAGCACGGAGUAGAAAUUUCUAUAUUUCUCUGCUCCUUAAGAAAAUUUGUACGUCGUUUUCCAAGCAGACCGCGUUUAGUUUACGCGAAGUAGAAAAGUGAAGUUGUGUAUGCUCUAUGAUGAUCCGCCGCGGGCUUAGGCCUUUUCCCCGAUGAGCAGUGUUUUGUAUGCGAUGUCGCAUGUCUGGACUUGAUCAGUGUUGCAAUUUUUACCCUUCGUUAAUAUCUUGUUGUUGUUGUCGUCUUGUGUUAGACGUUGAGCUUCGUAGCGAUGUGCGGUAACGCUACGAUUAUUCCUGAGCGCUCCGUGUGUUUAAUGCGUUGUCCUCUGUGCGUGCAUGCGUGUGCUUUUUUUCUCCUGAUUUGUGACGUCAUCGUGGCAUGUCUGGACUUGUUUAGCAGUGUUGCAGUUCUUCCCGCUGCUAGUAUCUUGUUGGUGUCAUGUUGUGCUAGCCGCGUGGCGAUGUGUGGUGACCUGAGGUCUUAAGCCUUUUCCCUGCUCACCUAAGGAAAUGUGUGUAUCCCUGUCCUGUGCUUUCUUUACGCAAGGGCAAUGCGUCUGCGUAUGUGGCACUAUCACAUACCAGACCUGAGUGUCUUUUUCUUAGCUUAUUAGCAUAUGCUUCAGGUUUUUUAAGUCAAGCACAAGUGCGCGCAAUUUUUCGCUGCUCUCUUCCUCAAAUCACCGAUUUUACGCAGAAGAAAGUCGCAUGGUGCAGCUGAGAAGUGGGUUUCUCUGAUUGUUUGUUAGAUGUUGUUAGGAGCUCGGUAUGUUGAGGAAGUCAGCUGUUAAAGGUAUCCGUGAAGAAAUGCUUGCAUCUGAACGCAGGAUAGGAAUUCCUGAAGCACGGCACCCUCAGUGUAAAUUAAUUAUUUUGGAUAUGAGUCGGCUUCACUGCAUGACAAGGCUGAAAUGGGAAGAGAGAAAAAAUUGGAGCGCUUCAUUAGUAGCGAUCCAAGUAAUAGGGCAAUUAUAGUUUCCAUAGAAAGUUGAAUUUUAAUGGGCUCCUAAAAUUAUAGUUUUGUAGAAGCUUUUCGAAACUGCAAUGCAAUAAUCAUCAAUAUAGUAUAGGAAUGCCAUCGUGUUCCCGUAAAGGCGUUCUGUCUUGUGCUUUGGAGUGCGCGAAUAGAACUUUGCUCCCAGGCUUUCCCGCCUUUAUGCUCGCAAUGCGCGAAUGGAACUUUGCCCACCCGGCUUCCGCGCGUUUUUGCUCGCAGGUGUAGCCUCAGACAACGAAUGUAUGAGCAUAGAAAGGGUCAUGUAUUACAUAAGCCUGGAGGUGACGUUGAGUGGUCUCACUUAUUAUUUUAAGGAGCAGUGGUAGUUUACUGUAAUUCUAAUGACCAUGAUGAGCCUUUGGGGUGAAAAUAGUUAAUAUGCAGGGUGCUUUUUUGUUGAAUUUUAAUGAGAGAAUCAAUGUCAUUCAGAGUAGGACAAAGGAAAUAAUCUUGCGAUGCAAUAAUUAAUAGGAGUCUUUGCCGGUGUCUUCUUCAGACAGGAUGUGAUGAUGUCACGCAGUCUGUAGCAAUGCGUUGACUGUUACUGAAAAAAGUGUAGCAAAAUGGUGUGUAUUCCCCUGGACAGAUUUAUGAUGAGCACUGUUUUUGAACAAGAGGAGUGCGUGUGCUUGGAAAUAGUUUGAUGCUGGUUUCCUUCUUUGUUUCUUUUCGCUUUUUCCCCCUUGUUGUCUGACAAACAUGCGCUGACAUGCCUGGGCUUGUUCUGACAUGCUUUCCUUCUACAUGUAGUUUUUUUUUCUUUUUGUACAAGGAAUAUUCUUGACGAUAGUGCUGCCUUGAAUGGGAAUAGUGCUAUUCUUAAUACUUUUGCGAUUCAUUUAGUUCAGAGAGUAACCGCGAGGGGGACAGGUGUGUGACUUUAUUCAGGAGGAACAAAGCAUCAUUAUUCAAUUAUCUACCUGGCUCUCGGGUGGGAUGAACAUGUCUUGCUGCACCAUUUUUUCCCUGUACAGUAAGACUUUGGGAAUGAAAUGCUAUAAUCUCCUCUUUUCUAUGGUGCUCUUCUGCAAUAGUUCCCUAUGCAAUCGUUAUAGAAGAAUAAAGGAAAUAAUAUUGGGAGAGUGAUUCAAUAAAUAACAGGUCCCAUGUCUAGAGCGUGCGCGUUCUUGAGCCACGCACCUGCAAGAUGACGUCAUACCGUGGCUUCACUGCAGGUUGACCUUGUCUAGAGGAGCAUUAGUGAAAAAAAACAGGGUAGCCCUGAGACAAUAGGAUGCCGUCACGACCAAUGAGACUGGCCUGCAGGGGGCGCAAGGAUUCACUUCUCUCUUGGACACUGGCGGGUGUAGACACGGUAAUUAUGAUCCUGGCGUUGGCCGUCAGUGGAAGAGCGUAGCUUAGGUGGGGUUCUGUCUGCCUCUGAUGGGGUGCGGAUGUAUGGUUCGUCACUGGUGAAUGGUGUUCGACGAUGCAGGUGGAUUUUGUGACGAGCGGAUUUACAAUGAGGGAAUGCUGUGAACGGGAAAAAUGAUGGUGAGUGCCUUUUUCACUCUGUUCAAGUGUUCGUUUUCCUCUGUUGCCCAACAGUCGUGCGAAUUUGUUCUGACGUGUCCUGACAUGCCCCGAUAUGCAUGCUUUCCUUUGUUAACGCUUUGUAUCUUGUCUUUUUUUGACAAGGAACAUUGUCGUCUUGACGAUAGUGCUGCCCUGAGUUCUGCGCGCGUUGAUUUGUUGAGUGCCUAGUCCUCUUAUUAGCCGUUGAUGGAGUUACAUGUUAGGAUGUUUUGUUCCUUUGCAAGUCUCAUUUAGUAAGACUUUGGAAUUCCUACGAUCAGUUUUCAUGCAUGGUGCUCUUCUGCAAUAGUUUCCUAUGCAAUCGUUAUAGAAGAAUAAAGGAAAUAAUCUUGGGAUAGUGAUUCAAUAAAUAAUAGGUCCCCUGUCUAGAGCGCACGCGUCCUUGAGCCACGCAGGUGCAUGAUGACGUCAUACCGUGGCCUCACUGCAGAUUGACCAAAGGAGCAUUAGUGGAAAAAAACAGUGUAGCCCUGAGACAAUAGGAUGAUGUCUGGACCAAUGAGAACUGCCAGCAGGGGGCGCAGGAAUGCUCUUCUCACUUAGCCUCACGACCAAUGAGAACGGCCAGCAGGGGGCGCAGGAAUGCUCUUCUCUCUUAGCCUCUCGCAGAUGGCGGUAGGAGCGCGCAGAGGGCGCUACGAGCGCGCGCAUGCGUAGCACCCGUAGAGUGGCGCUUACGUCAGUCCACCUCUGGCUCUCGUUGGGAGAAGACGUGCGGUCGUUCGCUCCGUCGUCACUUGAUCCCUGGCUGUCGACGAGAGCAGUCGCAUCGGUCUGCGCUCCUACUGUGGUGAGGUGAUUUGUUGUGUAACUAAUGAUUUCGCCAACUUUGUUCCCGCUUUGUUUGCGAUUUUCGUGCCCGUGCACGUCGGGUGCUGGUUGCUGUUGUCCGGGCAUUCCCGCCAUUUUCUAUCAUCUUCUGCCUUGGGACCGGGAGUAGCGCUGGCGUGAUUCUUAAUAAUUUUGUUGUGAGAUUAGUUGAGAAAGUAAUCGCUAGGGGGUGCAGCUGCGGGGUUUAUACAGGACAAAAACCAUUACGAGUCAGUUUCUGCCUGCCUCUCGGAUGGAGCAGUCGCAUGGUUCUGCGCUCCUGUUCUGGUGGGCUCAUUUGUUGUGUAACUAAUUUUUUUUUUUUUGUUAGCUAUUGAUGGUUUGCAUACUCUUGCUUUUCCAGACUCUGUAUUACGAGUGUUUUUCUCCUUGCAUGCCCAGAGCUGUCCUAACUUGCCCAGACAUGCCGUGAUGACGUCACAGCUGACGUCACAGGAUGUCCGGAACUGGUGGUCAUAGCUGCGAUGCUUUGCAACCUGCCUCUGUGCUCCGUCGCCCAGCGACGGUACGCGGCCUUUCCGGACCGCUUUCUUCAAGAUGGUGCCGUUGAUCUUCAAUUAAACUCCUUCUCUCCACUCUAUUUCUAUCUAUUUUUUUCUUUUUUAUGGACUCUCAUAGUGCACAACGCUCAGCUGGUCUGGACACGAGUUAGACUUUCCCCAAUUAGUGUGGUGGCUCCCUGGAGGGUGCUGAUUAAUGUGGGGGGUCCCAAUUAGCUCUAAUUGCUAAUUAAAUCGUGUUCAGGCCAGUUGGGCGUUGUGCACUGUGAGAGUCCAGUACCUACUACUGAUGAGUCGCGGAUAGUGAACAACGUAAUGCAUUUUACAGGGGUUAGAUAUUUGUGGGUACAACACUGCAAAGCCUUGAAGAAACGAAUAAAUGCAGCGUUCUAAGUAAUGAACAUGCAUAUGAACAUGCAUACUGCGCAUGAGAAGGUCUACAGUUUCACGAAAAGCUAUAUACAGCUGCCAUGCUUGAUUGCCAUGCACAGCUGCCACGCCAUAUACAUGAUUGUCUGUAUGUCGGCUGUGCAUGUUUAUACACAUAUUUCAUCACCUUGAUGUGCAUACAUAUGUGGACCUCAAUGUGAUUAUGCGCAAUAUGCUGGUACUUAUGAAUACACAGUUACCAACUUAUUGCCAUAAACCCAGCAGUUUUAUUCGGCGUUACACCCUUUACACCCCAAUUGCCAUGAGGGUGUUAAAAUACACCUUAAAAGGUGUGCGCCAUGAACAUUUUGAUUUACACCCUUUAAGGUGUAAUACGAUUUCGAGUGUACGAUGCAACCGGACAGUGCCAGCAAACCUGAAUUGGACUUUGCUAUGCAAAACCACGCUUCAGGCAAAAAAUUCUGUAGAUUUAAGAGCAUUUUGACCUUUUUUCUGGAUUUCAGUAGACAGACUCGGAGUCCAGUAGAUCUUCUGAAAUUUCAGUAGACCUGGCAACACUGGUGAACUGAACACUCUUUAGGCGACACGUCUGCUCUUCAUGACGAAGCGUUUUAUGGAGUUGGAGCCUAAGCUCCGCCAGCUUCGAUUUCGCCACACGAAUGCACCGGAGGCUAUCAUGAAGACGCGGCGCAGUGACCAGUGUUUUCACUUGAAGAAGUCGUCGACCAUCAUGACUUCUCCGUGUUGUGGUCAACACUAUGGGCUCUGAACCGCAUGGACACUGGCAUCUCCGAGGCAAAAGAGCGGACCGAUGAAUGCAUACCUGUGUAACAUUGCGCUUACCAUAUCUUAUUGAUACCAGGAGCGCAACGUCUCCACAAGCACAACAACAUGGAUACCAAAAUAAAGUCAGUAGAGUUCAUCUGCUAGCGAUCUGUGGGAAACCCCAAAACACAUGGCCAAAUAAGGAUUUUCUUUUUUGAAUGGUCAUACGCAGCAUUCAACAGUGGCACAUGGAAUAAAUCUUCCAGCUGACAGGAAUGUAUUUAGUCGUAUCAUAUAUAUGCUGCACACACAGGCACAAUACUGUUCACUAAUUAACGACACCUCAGCACAAUCGGAACAGAAACCACAACCGCGUACGAUCCACCUCAACCCGGGCCGUCACGGCAACACAGAGGCCUAGCCACACCUUUUACACUGCCCGCAGUCUUGUUUUAUGCAAAACGUACAAGACAAAUCAUGUAAGAACGCAAGUGAAUGUCAAACUCAAAUAAAUCGCAACAGCGUCUCAGUCGGUAAGUCGCCACGAUUCCGGAGCUAGCAGACGAUUCUGGCGGGGAGCGGACGCUUCCGGCAGCCAAUGAAGUGGUCGGCCUCCUGACGUCACCACACGCCAGGCUCGGCUUGGGGGACACUGUCGCCGCGGAGCGCAUUCUUGUAAACUUGUUUUUCUGAGGAAAUUCGCGCUUUUCGAAGGAAAUAUUUUGCGUGGCAGUUUAUGAAGGUAGUAUGUUCAUAUCAAGCGAUGAAAAAAUAUAUGUUCCAAAUGAUUCCCAUGCUCCUUUAAUAUGUAGGUUUUUUGUAUAGGGAAUGCUUGCGAGUGGCCGCUGGGGACGUGGUGUCUGGCCAUUUUUCCAUUCUCCCAAUAGGCAACUCAGAACAGCUGUGGAUGAUGUCGUAGAUCUGGUGACUUCACAUGAGAAGAGAUCUGGCCCAGGCGAUGGCUGCUUCUUCGAGCGUUUCUUGUUCCCUCACAGUCGCCCAGCCGUGCUGAAGAAGUGGGUGCAGAAGAUGCAUCGCAAAAAUUGGGUCCCAUCUAAAUCUUCGGUGCUCUGCAGCAGACACUUUGAGGAGGCUUGUUUCGAUCGUACAGGGCAAACUGCGCGACUCAAGAUUGAUGACUUUUGACAGCACAAGGGUACAGGCAAGAAAACCACCUCCAACAAGACAUAACAUAGAGGUAGAGCAAGACGUCAACCAUGAGAUUUCACAGCCAGGACCAUCGUGGGCUGCAGGUCCAGGGGUCUUGUCACCUCAGCCAGUCCGAUCCUCACAUAACCUUGCUGCUGACCACACAUACACAGUGCAAGAGAGUCCACGGACCUUAAAAAGGAAGAUAGACAUCACAGUUGAAGCACUGGACAACAUGAAGAAGCUGAAACGCUCUGAAGAAAAUGCCCGAAGACUGAAGAAAAAGGUACUCACUUCGGAGAGUGUUAUAGAAGAUCUCGAGAAAAAAUCUCUCGUACCAAGUCAAUGCACUGACAUGCUUCGUGGCACCUUGUCUGAUGUGCAGCUAGAUUUAGUACUGCGCACCCUACAGAACAAAGCUGGAAAAGUAAGCAGAGAGCAGUAUCCCCAGUCACUGCGUAGCUUUGCGCUCACUCUCCAGUUUUAUUCAGCAAAGGCAUACGCGUACGUCAGGAAGACAUUUAACCUUUCGCUUCCACACCAGGCGACACUUAGGUCGUGGUACAGCUGUAUACACGGCGAACCAGGUUUCACACAGGAAGCCUUUGAUGCACUCAAGGUUCUAGGUCCACAUCUCUGAGACACAACGUUUUCCCUACCCUCUACGAGCACAUGUUCGA
This is a long non-coding RNA of Ornithodoros turicata, 8148 nucleotides long. RefSeq lists it as uncharacterized. The record is from RefSeq and is a predicted model, not a curated record. The transcript has 4 exons. Lineage: Eukaryota; Metazoa; Arthropoda; Arachnida; Ixodida; Argasidae.